UAUAUGGCAUUCUGAACCACAUCCAAGUCUACAGCAGCGGAAAGAAAAGUUGAAGUGCUGACAAGGCAGGAAAUACACAGUAUUAAGGAAAAGAUCCGAUGUCCAAGUGAAACAAGUCUGUUUCACUUGGAAAUCUAUAUAUGAUACAGAUUGUGAAAUGCCAAGAGAAAAUCUGGUCCUCUCACAGUUUGUAAAAUGGACUAAAUAAGAGCAGCUGUGUGGGUAAAUAAUUACCCCAUACUUUGGCAUUACAAUGUUGGCUGAUUUUUGCCCAUUUUUUGACAAUGGAACUCUUUCACAUGCAAGUCCUGGGAAAUAACAGCCAAAGGAUAUUAUCUGUCAGUUUGUUAAACCAAUAGUGGAGUUAGUAAUUUCUGAAUGCAACAGAACCCUUCUUUUGUUGAGCUGUUGUUUUGUGACUCUCCCGUUUACCUUACCCCAAGUGAAUGUUGCACUACAAUGUCUCUCUUGCCCAGCUAUGACUGAGGCAAGACAGAAUAAAGAAAAGCCAAUGAUAAAUACAAAAUAUGCAAAUAAGUAUCAUUACAUUAAUUCAUUCUGGGAAAAAGUGCAGAAUCUUGGAAACAGAUUUCUCAAGAGAGCAAGAGCAAUUUAAAAGAGCAUGACCUGUGUGGCAUUAUAUCCAUGUUCCCAGGAAAAACCUGUGCUCAGUUAAAUCUCAAGACAGACUCACAGGAAAUCACAAGUUGCCUAUCUUAUUUCAUAGCUGGAUGCUGUUCUGCAAGGUUUUAAUUACAGAGGUGCUGUGACAAGAGCUUUGGUAUCCAAGUUUAGUGUGAGAUAAAUGGAUGAAAGUCAAGCUGUCCUUUAGUUGUAAUUGUGGUGUAGCUGGGUCCUAGGGGUGUCCCUGUGUGCACACUCAGUGCCCCAAACUCUUUAAUUCCCUGGGUGCUCCAGGAAUUCCUCAGCUAGUCCCUGCACAGAAGAGACACACAGCUGAGCAAAGGCAAGGUGACAGACUUGGCUCCUCCUCAGCUCCACAAUAAAAGGAUCUGUCUAACUCUUGCGAAAGAUUUUCAGGUGAGGAAUUCAGACAGUGCUGAGGGUACCUCCCAAGCUCCUGCUGGCUCCAAGACAAUUUUCUACACCUCCUGGGUGAAGAAUCUGGCCCUUUCAGACCCUCCUGGUGGUUCCUGCUGCAGAACUGCUGGGAUUGCAUGCAGGACCAGAGCUUGGUUGUUUAUCAUACUUCCCACUUCUAAUUAUUAGCACCUUCAAGAGAUCUGUUUCACCAAAGAUUGUUUAUGGAAGAUUGGUUAUUGUAUGACAGAAAGUGGACAUUGACCUGGAUGAUCUAAUUUUCUGUAUCUGACCUAGAAAAGUAGUCUGUACUCAUAGUUGCUCUGUAAAAUGAUAUUAUUAAUAUUUUUAAGAAGACAGUUGUAGAAACCAUUUUAAUAAAAUCUGAGUAGACUCUUAA
Zonotrichia albicollis (white-throated sparrow) is the source of this 1441-nucleotide non-coding RNA. Lineage: Eukaryota; Metazoa; Chordata; Aves; Passeriformes; Passerellidae. The record is from RefSeq and is a predicted model, not a curated record.